Molecule: small nucleolar RNA, 140 nt
Organism: Coregonus clupeaformis (lake whitefish)
Lineage: Eukaryota; Metazoa; Chordata; Actinopteri; Salmoniformes; Salmonidae
Product: small nucleolar RNA SNORA49
Exons: 1
Source: RefSeq, a predicted model, not a curated record
CUUCCUCUCUCUUACUCCAGUCACUCUGUGUCCAGUUGAGUGGUCUGGCAUUGAUAGAGGAUGCAGAACCAUGGCUCUGUCACCUCUCUCUCUCAUACAAGACUAUCGUCCUACAUGAGGCUUGUGAUAGCGGUCAAAAA